Molecule: ribosomal RNA, 305 nt
Filed under: uncultured bacterium
Lineage: Bacteria
Description: bacterial SSU rRNA
Rfam family: Bacterial small subunit ribosomal RNA
Source: RNAcentral
UGUGCCUACGGGGCGCAGCAGUGGGGGAUAUUGCACAAUGGGGGAAACCCUGAUGCAGCGACGCCGCGUGGGUGAAGAAGCGCCUCGGCGCGUAAAGCCCUGUCAGCAGGGAAGAAAAUGACGGUACCUGAAGAAGAAGCCCCGGCUAACUACGUGCCAGCAGCCGCGGUAAUACGUAGGGGGCAAGCGUUAUCCGGAUUUAUUGGGUUUAAAGGGUGCGUAGGCUGUGAGGUAAGUCAGCGGUGAAAUGCCCCCGCUCAACGGGGUGAAGUGCCAUUGAUACUGCCUUGCUGGAAUGCGGAUGC